This is a long non-coding RNA of Hydractinia symbiolongicarpus, 3315 nucleotides long. RefSeq lists it as uncharacterized. NCBI's taxonomy places the organism in Eukaryota, Metazoa, Cnidaria, Hydrozoa, Anthoathecata, Hydractiniidae. The record is from RefSeq and is a predicted model, not a curated record. The transcript is spliced from 4 exons.
AGAUUCUUUCCGUUCUCAACAUGGCUUGCAAGAGCUUGAGAGAGCGUGUGGAGUUAGUUUUUGAAAACGAAAAUUUUGAUGAGCUACCUCAAAUUUACGCCGAAUUAAAUAAAAAGUUUAAAUGUAAUUCUGUUUUGCCAUCUACUGACGUGUUGCAAAAACAACUUACUUUUGGUUUUAUCCAAAGAAAUUGCCAUGCAGAAUACUACCUUCCUGCCUAUGUGAAAGCAAAGAAGGAUGGUUGCGCAAUUACGUUGAAGUCUCAGGUCAAUGGAAAUUGCCUGUACAGUUCUAUGGCGUUGUGUUUGUUUGGGAAAAAUGUGAUGGUUGACGACUUACGAAUUCUUGUGUCAGUGGAGCUAAUGAUGAAUGCUAGCUUUUACUGUAAGCAUCCUCUAUUUUCUUCUAUCCUUGCUCUUCCAGAAAGUCUCUUUAAAUCUAUGGAAGAUAUUCUCAAUAUGUCUGUCUGCAAUUCUGCAUUUAACACAGACAAAAAACAAGAAGACUUAGUUAAGGAGGUAACCAUUUUAAAUUUAGUAGAUCGGAAAGCUUAAGGAUGUUUGUCGCACAAGGUGGAUUGAACGUGUUGAAGGUAUGGAUACAUUCCAAGAACUUUAUGUCCCUCUUGUUUUCACUCUUGAGGAGAUGUUUGUUCAAAGGCAAUGCAAUAUUGACACAUCAUCAAAAGCCUUGUCCUUAUAUAAAUUAAUUACAAGUUUUGAUUUUAUUAUUACAAUGGUAAUUACUCGGUCUGUAUUUGAUAUAACACUGCCAGUAACACGAAUGCUUCAGAGCAAAUCCAACGAUAUUUUUGAGGGACUUCAUAUGAUUGAUGCUCUUAAAAGUGCAGCCAUGGCUACACGAAAUGCAGUUGAUGCCUACCAUUAAAUGUGGUAUGAGAAAGCUGUAUUUCUAGCUCAAAAAGUAUGUGUUACUCCUACAAAACCUAGAACUUGUGGACGUCAAAAAAACAGAUCUAACAUUCCUGCUGAAAACAUUUCGGAUUAUUUUAAAAGGACAACAACUAUUCCAAUGUUGGACAAUUUAAAUUCUGAAUUGAAGUUACGUUUUGACAUAUCUACUGUGACUUCUUAUCAGGGCUUGUCAAUUAUUCCAUCUAAGAUGAUGUUUUUAGUUAGUAAACAUGGUCUAUUGGGAUGGAAAGACAAGUUUACAGCUUUUUGUAGCUUUUAUUCUGAUGACAUGCCAAACUUUUUAGCUCUUGAUGCUGAGCUAGAUCUCUGGCAUAAGUACUGGGAGAUGCAGGAUAGUUAUCCUGAUAAUAUUUCAGCCACUCUUUAAGCAAUUCCAUCAUUACAAUUUGACAAUUUGACUGUAGCCUUAAGAAUUCUUGCCACAUUACCAGUGACAUCCUGCGAAUGUGAACGCUCUUUCUCUGCAAUGAGAAGGCUUAAGAACUACAAUCGCAGUACAAUGGUGGCAGAUAGGUUGAAUGGCUUAGCUUUGUUACAUAUACACAAAGAAUUUGUACCAUCCACCUCAUCAGUCAUCAAUAAGUUUGCUGUUAAAAACAGGAGAUUGGAUUUUAAGUAAAAUGUUUAAAUCAAUUAUUUUUCUAUGUAGCCUCAAUAUAUACUCAUAUUGUUUAUAUCUAAAGUUAAAAUUAACAAGUAAUAAAAUAAAUAAUAUUGUUUCUUCCUUUUCUGAAUAAAUAUAUAAAUAUAAAUAAAUUUUAAAAUAAAGUAUAAUUUUUUGUACAAAUCCAUAUCUAAGAAACUACUUUCUGUAAUAAGUUUCAUACUCAUUAUAUUUCUCUCUCUCCUCUCCCCCCCCCCCUCCCCAUUUUUGGUGAUGACAAACCUGAUUGAUUCAAAAUUGUCCCCGGGCUCAGUAGGCUCCGCUGACAGUACCUGGGUCAAGGAGUAACUAAGUCUUUUUUUUCCUUCUAAGCUUUCUCGAAUGCUUAAAUUUUACGUGGUGGUGAUGAAGGUGAUGAUAACGUUAUGAAUCCAAUUACCUUCUUUUUAGUUUUUUUCAUUUACCUUCUUACAGUAGUUAUAUACAGUACAUUUGUUUUUGCGAUGAUGUGACAAAACAGCAAGCUGCAAUGAUAAUACUUAACCCUCUGCAAAUUUUACAAUCAUCAUACGAUGAUGUAACAAAACAGCAAGCUGUAAUGAUAAUACUCAACCCUCUGAAAAUUUUACAAUCAUCAUACGAUGAUGUGACAAAACAGCUAGCUGCAAUGAUAAUUAAUUCCUGUGCGUGCAGUUGACAGAGCCAUUUCUUUACUUCCACUUUAACAAUAACUUCUUUCUAUAAAUAAAUUUUCCUUAUUCCGGGCUCGGCCUGACUCCAGCCGACAGUACCUGGUUUCCGGAGCGGCAUUAUGACUGUCCAUGUCGGGCUUAACGAACUAUAUUUUCAAUCUAUUUUUCGUUUGUCCUAGGCAUGCUGACGAGCCCUGACAUUGGGCGAAACAGUCUAAAAAUGAUUUAUGCUAACGAAAUACAUUUAAGUUGUCAUUCUUUUUCUAUUUGAAGUGUUUAUGCGGAGCUGCGGCGUUUAUGAGAAUGUUUCGUUUCUGUUAUCAAGGUCUAAAACGUCUGCAUACGAGGUUGUUUUUUGUCCCCGUUUAAGCCUAUUUCAGGGUUCGCAAAGCCUGUUUCAGCGAAAGCUUCUGGGGCUCCGCCCCAGACCCCACUUGGGGGGCUUACAGCGCCCUUCAAAACCCCCAGCUGUAUAUCCAAAUUUUCUUAGUAUGUCAUGAUGCUGCGCAUCAUGACCUACAAAGAAAAUUUGCUAGAUCCGCCCCUGGUGACGGUGCGAGUGCGUCCUUAUUCACAACUGCCGUCAUUGAAUGGUGGUUGGAUCAUUUAAGGCGCCAUGUAUGCGACCACUGGAAAAACCAUUACCCAAAAGGAGAUUCAUCCAAUGGGAUAAAAAUAGCUUGACAGGAAAAAGCAACCCGUGCUGCAAUGGAGAAAGAUCCUAUAUGAUCCAAAAAUAUUUAGAUGUUUCCCAAUUAUUUUGCCGAUAUCUGUGGAAAGCUUUGAUGGGACAGGAUUAUUGAACAUUCCGCGAGAAAUCAUCCUUACAGAGGGAGAAAGGUAUACAUGGAUGGGCACUACGCUACACCGUAGAGGAAGCGUAGCUCACUACACUUCAUUGUUGAACAUAGACGGCAAAGUGAAGUUUUACGAUUGCUUGAAGAACGGUCCAAUUACGCCAAAUUGGAAGAGUUUGUUGGAAGAAUUUCAGCCACAACACACACUUUUUGUACUUGAAAUGUAAAAUCCUUGUACAUAUGUUUUAGUUUGAAAAAUACAUCUUUUUACCUUUUGUCUCAUCAAA